CACAUGCCAAAAUUGGACAUAGAAUUAUGUACAAAUUAAAAUUUUCUUAAUAUAAUAUAAAAUUCAGCAUUUCAAUCGUUUAGUUGAUCAUUUGCCAUACUACUCAAAAUUAGUGAAAACUUUUAUAUUCAUAAAUUAUUUACACUGAAAUUAUUUAAAUUUCAUGUAUAUUUCAAGCAACUUUUUUUAUCCCCAAAUGUUGAAAAGCAUUCUGCGUUGACUUGACAUACACUUACUUUGUCCCAGGCAUUAUCCUAGGGCUUCAUGUGUAUCAACUCAUUUAAACGAAGAACAGUAAUGCCAGGUGGGUAUGAUUUUUAUCUGCAUUUUACACAAGAGCAAAGUGAAGCACAAAGAAGUUAAAUAAUACCAUCAAGGUCAUACACCUAAUACUUGAUCAAACAGGGGUUUGAAUCUAGCCAGCCACAGGCUCCAGAGCUGGUGUUUUAACUGCUCAGCUACAUGACAAAGGCUGCCUGGUUUUCUUAAAGCAGUGAUAGUCCUUCCCUCCCCCAACCCCACACACAUGUUGUUUGGGUCCUUCCCUCUCACGUCUGUUUGAGAUUGGAGUGCGUGACCAUCAAGAUGGGAGGAAAGUGAAAGAAAAUUCUGGAACUAGGAGCACUUCUCAGACUGGCUAUAACAGUGAGAACCUAAGGGAGAAGGAGGUACUUGACCAGAGAGAUGAACAAGGAAGCUUCCCCUUUCUAUCUCAGCCUAGGUCUGACCUGCCACCCGCACCCCAGGGAUUAUGUGCUGAGCCCUUCAGUUCCAGGAUGCGUUUACGAUUUCCUAUCUGCUCCAAUAUAAAAUCUCUCAGACCAGUUUUACUCAGAGCUUCAUGGACAUUUUAGUUAUGCAAUAUAUGAGGUCUGAAUAUUGUCACACAUCCAAAUAGAACUUAAUUGUUAAGCUUUGCAGUCUCACAUAUACUCAAUAUCCAAUAUUUACAAAUAAAUACAACCCCCUUCUCCCAAAGUAGGCAUAAUUGCAGAAAUAAAGGUGCUGAACUGUUCUUCAGGAAGGUCUUGGCAGUUUUCGAAUAUUCCUUAGCAACAGUAUUCCACAUUAACCUUCAAGCAAAUGACAUUGAACUGCUACCAAACUUUUGUGUCGUGUUACACAGAAGUAUGACUCUGAGUGGUGGAUUCUUGUAACUUUCUCUAAAUGGAACUCCCAUCAGGAGAAGCAUUAUGUGUUAGAGGUGACUACUGAUUGAGCUAGCAGGAGAUACUUCUUUAGGAGGAAAAGCAACUUGAAAUUUUUUUAUAAGGUUGACUUUAUCCCAUUGAAAGUGAUGGUAUAUGAAAUGAAAAUAUCUUUUAAAAAAUGAAUUGUAUGUAGAAUACAGUAUAUGUUCUCCCAUGCAUCUAUUUCUUUUUGCAGGUAAGAGCACUAUUCACCAAAUAAUGUUUUCAGUUAAUGUUUUGGAUUAAGCAGAUGUAAUUUCUAGAAUAAUAACAUUUGUGACCAACACCACCCUCACCAUUGGGCAUGCCUUUGCUGGAACUCCCUUUGCACGGGGACAGAAGGUUUGGCUAUAAAUGUGUAUGGUGGUAAAUGUGAAUUUAUCGUAUGGAGGAAGCAUGUCAAUGAAGAGGAAGAUGAGGCCACUCAAGGCCAGUGUGCAACGGUGGAGGGGAGAUCAGCACGUAACAAACAAAAGCCAGGUUCUGCCAGAGGGCCGGGAUGAAGGCGGUUAGAUAACGAAAUAGCUUCUGGAGAUUUCUCUAAGUGAGGAUUACGGAAACUUAUUGAUGGGUGAUCGAAGUUUUCUCCCAUUCUCUUUUCAUUUCAAGCAAAGAUUAACAUUUUCCCUUAUAAGAAGCCUUAGUUUCUAGACAACGAUAAUUUUCACACCAUGAAAAACUUAAAGCCUUCUAACUCAGCUAUUUAAAUAUUACAAGAUUCUGUUCACUGGUAUCAUCUGCUUUCAGAUGAUUUUGCUAUAGUUAUUAUGUUUUAGAGAGCACUUUCUUAUGUUUUAGGAGAAGAUGGCCUCUAGUGCUAUUCAUUUCCGACGGUGCGGCAUCCCAAACCGUGGAAACAGAAGGCAGGCCAGCACGCGCUGGCCGUUGUCGCCCAUUCGCCGUCCAUUCUCAGGCUUCUUCCCGAGGGCGGAGCCGACCUGGCCUCUGGGCCUCGGCUCCGGAAAGGAGGGCCUCUGCAGCCCUAGGCAGGAAAUGAAGAACUCCUAAAGUGACAUUGCAGACUUGGGAUCUGCGCCCUCUUCUGCUUCCGUCCAGAAGUGCCCUGCCUCAUUCCCUGCAGAACUGAAGGCAAUGAAUCAAAUGCGGACAGCUGCUGUUGCCCUGUAUCGGG
This is a long non-coding RNA of Equus asinus (donkey), 2322 nucleotides long. The record is from Ensembl. NCBI's taxonomy places the organism in Eukaryota, Metazoa, Chordata, Mammalia, Perissodactyla, Equidae.